UUUCAUGGAAUUGUUUUAAAAUUCAACAUCCAUUUAUAUAUGUGGGAAUGAAUACUUGUGGGAAUUGUGAAGUGACAAGUUUCAAGGUUUUCCUUCUAAGGACAUGUUCUUCUUUCUUGAAACAAGAACAGCGGCAGAAAAGAUGAAGACUGAGUGUUUAACAGGUUCUUCUCAGAUACUGAAAAUAAUUAUAUACAUGGUCUACACAUACUUUUAUUGGACAGCACUGGUUGAGACUGCUGCUGGGCAUAUAAAGGAAGAAAAAAGAAAUUUUUGUUUUGAUUAAUACCACUGAGAUUGCCUCAUUGGAUGAUGAAGUUUGAAGCUCUUGUCCGUUUCAAUUCUUACUGCUGACUUAUUCCUUUUUUCCUUUCAGUAAAUGUUAUGUCUGUGGCAGAUGCUAAUGAGAACAGUUACAUAUACAGAAAAUGUCCCAGGCAUAAAAGAUCCAACAUUCCUAUUGUAGAAGAUAGACAAUAAAGUAAUAAUUGACAUAUCAAUUCAUAAGUGACAUGGGAAAAUACACAGGUGGGGGAAAAAAAGGGUGUCCUGGGGUGCCCGGGUGGCUCAGUC
Molecule: long non-coding RNA, 573 nt
Organism: Callorhinus ursinus (northern fur seal)
Lineage: Eukaryota; Metazoa; Chordata; Mammalia; Carnivora; Otariidae
Source: RefSeq, a predicted model, not a curated record